This 346-nucleotide ribosomal RNA is filed under the name uncultured bacterium. Its description in RNAcentral is "partial 16S ribosomal RNA". It matches the Rfam family "Bacterial small subunit ribosomal RNA", at positions 338 to 681 of the family's 1533-position model. The record is from RNAcentral.
CCUACGGGAGGCUGCAGUGAGGAAUAUUGGUCAAUGGGCGCAAGCCUGAACCAGCCAAGUAGCGUGAGGGAUGAAGGUUCUAUGGAUUGUAAACUUCUUUUAUAAGGGAAUAAAGUGCGGGACGUGUGCCGUUUUGUAUGGACCUUAUGAAUAAGGAUCGGCUAACUCCGUGCCAGCAGCCGCGGUAAUACGGAGGAUCCGAGCGUUAUCCGGAUUUAUUGGGUUUAAAGGGUGCGUAGGCGGCCUUUUAAGUGAGCGGUGAAAGUCCGUGGCUCAACCUUAGACUUGCCGUUGACACUGGGAGUCUUGAGUAUGUUUGAGGCAGGCGGAAUGCGUGGUGUAGCGG